CUGAACUUGAAUGUUACUGAAGUUUAGAAAUGCUACUUAUUUUUUCAUGUUUAAUUUUUGUGGGUGCAUAGCAGUUAUAUAUGUAUAUAUUCAUGAGGUUCAUAAGCUAUUUUGACACAGACAUAUAAUGCAUAUAUCAGGGUAAUAUUGGUCUCAUAGAGUGAGCUUGGAAGUAUUCUCUGCUCUACUUAUGGGAAUAGUUUGAGUAGAAUUGAUAUUAAUUCUCUUAAAUGUUUGAUGAAAUUCAGCAGUGAAGCCAUUGGGUCCUCAGCUUCUCUUUCCUGGGAGACUAUUAUUGCAGCUUUGAUGUUACUUGUCCACAGCCAAGUGACAGGUGAGCUGAGAUUCACCCUGAGUCUGGCUGGCUCCAAAACUGUGGUCAUCCCUAGCAUGCUGUCACUCCACCUUAUUUAAGACCUUCUUUGUUUUUACUGCGUGUCAGAGCCAGGACCAUGUUGGAACCGGAAGCCCACUUUGGUGGCACAACAGGGACACUUAAAGGGCUCCUUGCAAAGACUGAAAUUGCAAUCAGACAAUUGAAAAUUGGAAGAGCUGGGCUUUUCCUCCAUCUAGGAUUUAUUCUCAGUUGAUGUCUAGGAAUAAGAGGGCUGUCUUUUCUCUCAUCUUGGGCCAAGCUGGCUGGUAUCUUUGUAGGUUUGUCAAAUGCUGACAUGGGCUUUGCCUUUGAGUCCCAGCCCAAAAAAUCCCAGCUGUCCUUACAUGCUAACAAGACAACAUUUUUCUUGGAUCAUUUGUUCUCCAACCUGGGCCACCUCUGAGCCCAUUUCUGUCAAAGACUCUCCUUCCCCACAGGCCAACUCCUCUCCUACAAACUCUGAAAGGGCCUCUGAAGCCAACACUGUUUAC
RNAcentral lists this long non-coding RNA (867 nucleotides) under Pan troglodytes (chimpanzee). RNAcentral describes it as "long non-coding RNA NONPTRT017404". Lineage: Eukaryota; Metazoa; Chordata; Mammalia; Primates; Hominidae. The record is from RNAcentral.